Molecule: ribosomal RNA, 888 nt
Filed under: uncultured bacterium
Lineage: Bacteria
Description: partial 16S small subunit ribosomal RNA
Rfam family: Bacterial small subunit ribosomal RNA
Source: RNAcentral
UGCAAGUCGCGGGANAAGCCUUCGGGUGAGUACACCGGCGCAAGGGUGAGUAAUGCGUAGUUAAUGCACCCAUCGGAUCAGGAUAAUUCCGGGAAACUGGUUGUAAUACUGAAUGAGACCACGGUAACUAAGGUUACAGGGGUCAAUGGGGCGGGACCUUUCGAGGCCGCCCGCCGAUGGCGCGGACUACGUCUGAUUAGUUUGUUGGUGGGGUAACGGCCUACCAAGACGAUGAUCAGUAGCCGGCCUGAGAGGGUGUUCGGCCACACUGGAACUGAGAACUGUCCAGACUCCUACGGGAGGCUGCAGUCGCGAAUCAUUCACAAUGGACGAAAGUCUGAUGAUGCCACGCCGCGUGCGGGAAGAAGGCCUUAGGGUUGUAAACCGCUGUCAAAUUGGGGGAAACUGUACAGGCGAAACAUCUGUGCACUGACUGCCAUUAAAAGGAAGCCCCGGCUAAACACGUGCCAGCAGCCGCGGUAAUACGUGUGGGGCAAGCGUUGUUCGGAAUUACUGGGCUUAAAGGGUGCGUAGGUGGUUUUGUAAGUCAGGGGUGAAAGUCGGUGGCCCAACCAUCGAAUUGCCUUUGAUACUGCUUAACUUGAGUGUGUUAGGGGAGAGCGGAACGUGUAGUGUAGCGGUGAAAUGCGUAGAUAUUACACGGAANGNCGGANCCGAAGGGGGCUCUCUGGGACACAACUGACGCUGANNCACGAAAGCGUGGGGAGCAAACAGGAUUAGAUACCCUGGUAGUCCACGCCGUAAACGAUGAACACUNNNNNUUGUCUGNUNNGNAUGACCGUUGUANANAAAUUGCUAAGUGUUCCGNCUGGGGAGUACGUUCGCAAGNNUGAAACUCAAANAAAUUGANGGGGCUCNCNCNAGCGG